RNAcentral lists this ribosomal RNA (822 nucleotides) under Arthrobacter sp. PCA3-5_Pa. Its description in RNAcentral is "bacterial SSU rRNA". It matches the Rfam family "Bacterial small subunit ribosomal RNA", at positions 57 to 892 of the family's 1533-position model. The record is from RNAcentral. Lineage: Bacteria; Bacillati; Actinomycetota; Actinomycetes; Micrococcales; Micrococcaceae.
GCAGUCGAACGAUGAUCCCAGCUUGCUGGGGGAUUAGUGGCGAACGGGUGAGUAACACGUGAGUAACCUGCCCUUGACUCUGGGAUAAGCCUGGGAAACUGGGUCUAAUACCGGAUACGACCAUUCCACGCAUGUGGUGGUGGUGGAAAGCUUUUGUGGUUUUGGAUGGACUCGCGGCCUAUCAGCUUGUUGGUGGGGUAAUGGCCUACCAAGGCGACGACGGGUAGCCGGCCUGAGAGGGUGACCGGCCACACUGGGACUGAGACACGGCCCAGACUCCUACGGGAGGCAGCAGUGGGGAAUAUUGCACAAUGGGCGCAAGCCUGAUGCAGCGACGCCGCGUGAGGGAUGACGGCCUUCGGGUUGUAAACCUCUUUCAGUAGGGAAGAAGCGUAAGUGACGGUACCUGCAGAAGAAGCGCCGGCUAACUACGUGCCAGCAGCCGCGGUAAUACGUAGGGCGCAAGCGUUAUCCGGAAUUAUUGGGCGUAAAGAGCUCGUAGGCGGUUUGUCGCGUCUGCUGUGAAAGACCGGGGCUCAACUCCGGUUCUGCAGUGGGUACGGGCAGACUAGAGUGCAGUAGGGGAGACUGGAAUUCCUGGUGUAGCGGUGAAAUGCGCAGAUAUCAGGAGGAACACCGAUGGCGAAGGCAGGUCUCUGGGCUGUAACUGACGCUGAGGAGCGAAAGCAUGGGGAGCGAACAGGAUUAGAUACCCUGGUAGUCCAUGCCGUAAACGUUGGGCACUAGGUGUGGGGGACAUUCCACGUUUUCCGCGCCGUAGCUAACGCAUUAAGUGCCCCGCCUGGGGAGUACGGCCGCAAG